This 94-nucleotide long non-coding RNA is filed under the name Columba livia (rock pigeon). Its description in RNAcentral is "partial uncharacterized LOC102091485". The record is from RNAcentral. Lineage: Eukaryota; Metazoa; Chordata; Aves; Columbiformes; Columbidae.
AGGAGGAGGAGGAGUAUGACGAGGAGGAGCACGAGGAGGAGACCGAUUACAUCAUGUCCUACUUCGACAACGGGGAGGACUUCGGUGGGGACAG